Molecule: long non-coding RNA, 332 nt
Filed under: Homo sapiens (human)
Lineage: Eukaryota; Metazoa; Chordata; Mammalia; Primates; Hominidae
Description: HSALNT0234921
Source: RNAcentral
UCCGGGAGGGUCUUAGGCCGACCCGCGAGACGCAGCCGAGCGGAGAUGGAGUGAAGGCUGCCUCGCCCGGAAUCUCGGAGCCGAGCGCCGCGGGCGGCGGGGACUCAGGGCUGCUCCCGGCUGGGGCGCACGGCCGUAAGACCUGGAGGUGGUGCCUCCCCCCAAAAAAUACCGGCGGGGGUAGCUUCCUCACGGCCUUCGCCCGGGCUGCCCUCGGCCUCAGCUCGGCUCCUUUCCUUGUGGGAGGGCGAGAAAGAAAGAGGGAGGAGAGAGGUGGGGGAGGCGGGAGUUGGAGAGAGAGGGGCUCUGAGCCAACCGCCGGCGGAUCCAGC